Molecule: ribosomal RNA, 464 nt
Filed under: uncultured Klebsiella sp.
Lineage: Bacteria; Pseudomonadati; Pseudomonadota; Gammaproteobacteria; Enterobacterales; Enterobacteriaceae
Description: bacterial SSU rRNA
Rfam family: Bacterial small subunit ribosomal RNA
Source: RNAcentral
CCUACGGGCGGCAGCAGUGGGGAAUAUUGCACAAUGGGCGCAAGCCUGAUGCAGCCAUGCCGCGUGUGUGAAGAAGGCCUUCGGGUUGUAAAGCACUUUCAGCGGGGAGGAAGGCGUUAAGGUUAAUAACCUUGGCGAUUGACGUUACCCGCAGAAGAAGCACCGGCUAACUCCGUGCCAGCGCCGCGGUAAUACGGAGGGUGCAAGCGUUAAUCGGAAUUACUGGGCGUAAAGCGCACGCAGGCGGUCUGUCAAGUCGGAUGUGAAAUCCCCGGGCUCAACCUGGGAACUGCAUUCGAAACUGGCAGGCUAGAGUCUUGUAGAGGGGGGUAGAAUUCCAGGUGUAGCGGUGAAAUGCGUAGAGAUCUGGAGGAAUACCGGUGGCGAAGGCGGCCCCCUGGACAAAGACUGACGCUCAGGUGCGAAAGCGUGGGGAGCAAACAGGAUUAGAUACCCUUGUAGUC